This 475-nucleotide ribosomal RNA is filed under the name Escherichia coli. RNAcentral's name for it is "bacterial SSU rRNA". It matches the Rfam family "Bacterial small subunit ribosomal RNA", at positions 30 to 494 of the family's 1533-position model. Lineage: Bacteria; Pseudomonadati; Pseudomonadota; Gammaproteobacteria; Enterobacterales; Enterobacteriaceae. The record is from RNAcentral.
AUUGAACGCUGGCGGCAGGCCUAACACAUGCAAGUCGAACGGUAACAGGAAGCAGCUUGCUGCUUUGCUGACGAGUGGCGGACGGGUGAGUAAUGUCUGGGAAACUGCCUGAUGGAGGGGGAUAACUACUGGAAACGGUAGCUAAUACCGCAUAACGUCGCAAGACCAAAGAGGGGGACCUUCGGGCCUCUUGCCAUCGGAUGUGCCCAGAUGGGAUUAGCUAGUAGGUGGGGUAACGGCUCACCUAGGCGACGAUCCCUAGCUGGUCUGAGAGGAUGACCAGCCACACUGGAACUGAGACACGGUCCAGACUCCUACGGGAGGCAGCAGUGGGGAAUAUUGCACAAUGGGCGCAAGCCUGAUGCAGCCAUGCCGCGUGUAUGAAGAAGGCCUUCGGGUUGUAAAGUACUUUCAGCGGGGAGGAAGGGAGUAAAGUUAAUACCUUUGCUCAUUGACUUACCCGCAGAAGAGCACC